Non-coding RNA from Triticum aestivum (bread wheat), 81 nucleotides. Lineage: Eukaryota; Viridiplantae; Streptophyta; Magnoliopsida; Poales; Poaceae. The record is from Rfam.
AGCUCAGUGAUUUUAGCCAAAUAAACUUUGGUCAUAUACGCUAUUCUGAAUAUGUUGUUGUAAAAUAAAUUUAUGAGAGCU